UUCCUCAUUCACAUGUUAGUGAAGAAAAAGUCAAAAUAAGUUUUUGAAAUGUUUUAGAAAAUUCUAAAUUCACGGUUGGUUGACUCCAGUGUGGAGUCAUGGUCUAAAACCCUACAAAAAUGCUCUUGUAAAUCAUAUAACGUUAUUUGAACCUAAAUGCAAUCCUCGUUUCAUGAAAAAAAAAAGUGAUGAUCGAUUGAUUUCGGACCCGUGAUGAAUGGGCUAAAAGACACUUUCCCAUUUAUUCAUUUGAUGCUUCAGAAAAUAGCAGAUUUUUUUCUAUACAAAACUAGGGGACGGUGAAAGUAAAUAUAUAAAAAUAUACAAUAAUACAUUAUAUAAAUAAAUGUUAUGGAAGAGGACAAGAGGAGGGAAAAGAGGCGCCCCUCCGAAACAUUAGAAGAGAACCGGCGGCAACACUGGGACGGUUGGCAACGCUGAGGGGUUGGUGUUGACGAGAGGGAAGAACAAAGAAACGGGACUAACGGGAGUACGCACGGAGAACUGCGCAGUUGUGGUUGUUUGGGACAACGGCGUUUUGUAUUCUAGCGACUUUAAUUAAAUUACUUUAUAUCAAA
This is a long non-coding RNA of Cimex lectularius (bed bug), 578 nucleotides long. RefSeq lists it as uncharacterized. The transcript is spliced from 2 exons. The record is from RefSeq and is a predicted model, not a curated record. Lineage: Eukaryota; Metazoa; Arthropoda; Insecta; Hemiptera; Cimicidae.